This 433-nucleotide ribosomal RNA is filed under the name uncultured bacterium. Its description in RNAcentral is "partial 16S ribosomal RNA". It matches the Rfam family "Bacterial small subunit ribosomal RNA", at positions 29 to 507 of the family's 1533-position model. The record is from RNAcentral.
AACGAACGCUGGCGGCAUGCCUAACACAUGCAAGUCGAACGAAGCCUCCGGGCUUAGUGGCGCUCGGGUGUGUAACGUGUGGGAAUCUUCCCCUUGCUUCGGAAUAACAGUUAGACAUGGCUGCUAACACCGGAUGAAGUCUUCUGACCAAAGAUUUAUCUGCAAGGGAUGAGCCCGCGUAGGAUUAGGCGGUCGGUGGCGUAUAGGCCUACCAAGCCGACGAUACUUAGCUGGUCUGAGAGGAAGAUCAGCCACACUGAGGGUGGGACACGGCCCGGAAUCCUACGGGAGGCAGCAAUGGGGAAUAUUGGACGAUGGACGCGAGUAUGAUGCAGCCAUGCCGCGUAAGUGAUGAAGGCGGUAGGGUUGAAAAGCUCUUUUACCAGGGAUGAUAAUGACGGUACCUGAAGAAUAAGCUCCGGCUAACUCCGUG